Long non-coding RNA from Stegodyphus dumicola, 175 nucleotides. The record is from RefSeq and is a predicted model, not a curated record. Lineage: Eukaryota; Metazoa; Arthropoda; Arachnida; Araneae; Eresidae.
UCCCCCUUUGGCCUCUUCUAGUGUAAUUUGUCAUCAUUUUUGUGCACUCUUGGAUUGCAGAACAUGAUAUCAUGAAAGAAAAAGAACGGAGAAAUAGUGCAGAGCAAAAAGACAUCUGUGGCUGUGUAAUUUGUCAUCAUUUUUGUGCACUCUUGGAUUGCAGAACAUGAUAUCA